UGCCAGCCGCCGCGGUAAUACAGAGGGUGCAAGCGUUAAUCGGAAUUACUGGGCGUAAAGGGCCCGUAGGUGGAAUGGUAAGUCGAAUGUGAAAGCCCUGGGCUCAACCUGGGAACUGCAUCCGAUACUGCCAAUCUAGAGUGCAAUAGAGGGUAGAGGAAUUUCUGGUGUAGCGGUGAAAUGCGUAGAUAUCAGAAGGAACAUCAGUAGCGAAGGCGUCUACCUGGGUUGUAACUGACACUGAGGGGCGAAAGCGUGGGUAGCGAACAGGAUUAGAUA
This 279-nucleotide ribosomal RNA is filed under the name uncultured bacterium. Its description in RNAcentral is "partial 16S ribosomal RNA". It matches the Rfam family "Bacterial small subunit ribosomal RNA", at positions 506 to 784 of the family's 1533-position model. The record is from RNAcentral.